Molecule: long non-coding RNA, 462 nt
Filed under: Bos taurus (domestic cattle)
Lineage: Eukaryota; Metazoa; Chordata; Mammalia; Artiodactyla; Bovidae
Description: long non-coding RNA NONBTAT018718
Source: RNAcentral
AAUUUCUGAAUUUUUAAAUAGAAGUCACCUGCUCUCUUGAGCUACGUUUGGUGAAAUUAAGAAUGCUGUCACAAAAAUUUUUAAGAAAGGACUGGAAGUUGGAAAGUAAUGGUUUAUAAAUGUUCUCCAGUCUAUGAUGAGGGAUGAGGCCUCGAGUAACUUGGUCACCUUAGUCAGGAGUGGGUUGAGAUGACUCCCUAAGAAGGAGGAGAAACAACCUUGCAAAUUAAUCCUGCAUUAACACAGUCAUUGGGGGAAAUUUAAUAUAACAUGUAAUCUAUCACUUCAAUGCUUUAUAUUAAAGGAAAAAUGGAGGGGUGCAGUCCAUUCUUAAGCUGGUGGGGAAAGAUGUUUUUGGAUAGAAGAACUUUUCAUAAAUAUCAGAUCACGUUAAGUCUGGUGGAUGCUUUUUUUUCCCUUCAUCAGAAAUGAAAAAGCAGGAACUUCCCUGGUAGUCCUUCU